UUCCGUAGGGGUGAACCUGCGGAGGGAUCAUUACCGAGUUUACAACUCCCAAACCCCUGUGAACAUACCAAUUGUUGCCUCGGCGGAUCAGCCCGCUCCCGGUAAAACGGGACGGCCCGCCAGAGGACCCCUAAACUCUGUUUCUAUAUGUAACUUCUGAGUAAAACCAUAAAUAAAUCAAAACUUUCAACAACGGAUCUCUUGGUUCUGGCAUCGAUGAAGAACGCAGCAAAAUGCGAUAAGUAAUGUGAAUUGCAGAAUUCAGUGAAUCAUCGAAUCUUUGAACGCACAUUGCGCCCGCCAGUAUUCUGGCGGGCAUGCCUGUUCGAGCGUCAUUUCAACCCUCAAGCCCCCGGGUUUGGUGUUGGGGAUCGGCGAGCCCUUGCGGCAAGCCGGCCCCGAAAUCUAGUGGCGGUCUCGCUGCAGCUUCCAUUGCGUAGUAGUAAAACCCUCGCAACUGGUACGCGGCGCGGCCAAGCCGUUAAACCCCCAACUUCUGAAUGUUGACCUCGGAUCAGGUAGGAAUACCCGCUGAACUUAAGCAUAUCAAUAAGCCGGAGGAA
This 563-nucleotide ribosomal RNA is filed under the name Fusarium oxysporum. Its description in RNAcentral is "eukaryotic LSU rRNA". The stretch from base 182 to 335 matches the Rfam family "5.8S ribosomal RNA". Lineage: Eukaryota; Fungi; Ascomycota; Sordariomycetes; Hypocreales; Nectriaceae. The record is from RNAcentral.